UAAUACAGGCUGGCCUUCGAAUGGCCUUUG
Molecule: non-coding RNA, 30 nt
Filed under: Rattus norvegicus (Norway rat)
Lineage: Eukaryota; Metazoa; Chordata; Mammalia; Rodentia; Muridae
Source: RNAcentral